GCCAGGCACGGUGGUGCAUGCCUGUAAUCCCAGCAGCUUGGGAGGCUGAGCGAGGAGGAUCGUGAGAUCAAAAGACAGCUUCAGCAACAGCGAGGCACUAAGCAACUCAGUGAGACCCCAUCUCUA
RNAcentral lists this small RNA (126 nucleotides) under Marmota monax (woodchuck). Lineage: Eukaryota; Metazoa; Chordata; Mammalia; Rodentia; Sciuridae. The record is from RNAcentral.